Molecule: ribosomal RNA, 200 nt
Filed under: uncultured Lactobacillus sp.
Lineage: Bacteria; Bacillati; Bacillota; Bacilli; Lactobacillales; Lactobacillaceae
Description: partial 16S ribosomal RNA
Rfam family: Bacterial small subunit ribosomal RNA
Source: RNAcentral
CUAAUACCGGAUAAGAAAGCGGAUCGCAUGAUCAGCUUUUAAAAGGACGGCGUAAGCUGUCGCUAUGGGAUGGCCCGCGGUGCAUUAGCUAGUUGGUAAGGUAAAGGCUUACCAAGGCGAUGAUGCAUAGCCGAGUUGAGAGACUGAUCGGCCACAUUGGGACUGAGACACGGCCCAAACUCCUACGGGAGGCAGCAGUG